AUCGCUUCUCGGCCUUUUGGCUAAGAUCAAGUGUAGUAUCUGUUCUUAUCAGUUUAAAAUUUAUCUUUAUUGUUGAAAGUAUUACAGGUGUCCCCUUUUUUCCCCAUUGACCCCCC
RNAcentral lists this small nuclear RNA (116 nucleotides) under Myotis davidii. Its description in RNAcentral is "U2 spliceosomal RNA". It matches the Rfam family "U2 spliceosomal RNA". From Rfam's summary of the family: U2 is a small nuclear RNA (snRNA) component of the spliceosome (involved in pre-mRNA splicing). The record is from Rfam by way of RNAcentral. Lineage: Eukaryota; Metazoa; Chordata; Mammalia; Chiroptera; Vespertilionidae.